GACGAACGCUGGCGGCGUGCUUAACACAUGCAAGUGGAGCGACGAACCGGGCUUCGGCCCGGGGCAAAGCCGCGAACGGGUGAGUAACACGUGGGUAACCUGCCCCGAUGAUUGGGACAACCUCGGGAAACCGAGGCUAAUACCAAAUGUGCUCACACUCCUCGAGGAGUGUGAGGAAAGGAAGCUUCGGCCUCCGCAUCGGGAUGGGCCCGCGGCGCAUUAGCUUGUUGGUGGGGUAAUGGCCUACCAAGGCUUCGAUGCGUAGCUGGUCUGAGAGGACGAUCAGCCACACUGGGACUGAGACACGGCCCAGACUCCUACGGGAGGCAGCAGUGGGGAAUCUUGCACAAUGCGCGAAAGCGUGACGCAGCAACGCCGCGUGCGGGAAGACGGCCUUCGGGUUGUAAACCGCUUUCAGUUGGGACGAAGCUUCGCCGGUGAAUAGCCGGCCGGAGUGACGGUACCUUCAGAAGAAGCCCCGGCUAACUACGUGCCAGCCGCCGCAGUAA
RNAcentral lists this ribosomal RNA (509 nucleotides) under uncultured bacterium. Its description in RNAcentral is "partial 16S ribosomal RNA". It matches the Rfam family "Bacterial small subunit ribosomal RNA", at positions 28 to 523 of the family's 1533-position model. The record is from RNAcentral.